RNAcentral lists this ribosomal RNA (468 nucleotides) under uncultured bacterium. RNAcentral's name for it is "partial 16S ribosomal RNA". It matches the Rfam family "Bacterial small subunit ribosomal RNA", at positions 28 to 507 of the family's 1533-position model. The record is from RNAcentral.
GACGAACGCUGGCGGCGUGCUUAACACAUGCCAGUCGAACGGAAAGGCCCUGCUUUUGUGGGGUGCUCGAGUGGCGAACGGGUGAGUAACACGUGAGUAACCUGCCCUUGACUUUGGGAUAACUUCAGGAAACUGGGGCUAAUACCGGAUAGGAGCUCCUGCUGCAUGGUGGGGGUUGGAAAGUUUCGGCGGUUGGGGAUGGACUCGCGGCUUAUCAGCUUGUUGGUGGGGUAGUGGCUUACCAAGGCUUUGACGGGUAGCCGGCCUGAGAGGGUGACCGGCCACGUUGGGACUGAGAUACGGCCCAGACUCCUACGGGAGGCAGCAGUGGGGAAUAUUGCACAAUGGGCGGGAGCCUGAUGCAGCAACGCCGCGUGCGGGAUGACGGCCUUCGGGUUGUAAACCGCUUUCGCCUGUGACGAAGCGUGAGUGACGGUAAUGGGUAAAGAAGCACCGGCUAACUACGUG